This 253-nucleotide ribosomal RNA is filed under the name uncultured bacterium. RNAcentral's name for it is "partial 16S ribosomal RNA". It matches the Rfam family "Bacterial small subunit ribosomal RNA", at positions 524 to 776 of the family's 1533-position model. The record is from RNAcentral.
UACAGAGGUCCCGAGCGUUGUUCGGAUUCAUUGGGCGUAAAGAGCGUGUAGGCGGCCUGAAAGGUCAGCUGUGAAAACUCGAGGCUCAACCUCGAGACGUCGGUUGAAACCAUCUGGCUAGAGUCCGGAAGAGGAGUGUGGAAUUCCCGGUGUAGCGGUGAAAUGCGCAAAUAUCGGGAAGAACACCCGUGGCGAAGGCGGCACUCUGGGACGGUACUGACGCUGAGACGCGAAAGCGUGGGGAGCGAACAGG